Molecule: non-coding RNA, 1268 nt
Organism: Psammomys obesus (fat sand rat)
Lineage: Eukaryota; Metazoa; Chordata; Mammalia; Rodentia; Muridae
Source: the annotation of a RefSeq genome assembly
GGGGCAGAGGGGAUGGAUUGGCUACCCUGACCAUGCUGACAUGAAUGGACAACAGACAGAAGGCCAAAACGACAGCCCCAUCUGUCUAUCCGCUGGCCCCGGCCUGUACGACGUCUGGAUCCACGGUGACCCUGGGAUGCCUGGUCAAGGGCUACUUCCCUGAGCCAGCCACCGUGACCUGGAACUCUGGAGCCCUGACCAGCGGCGUGCACACCUUCCCAUCUCUCCUGCAGUCUGGGCUCUACACCCUCAGCAGCUCCGUGACUGUACCUUCCAGCACCUGGCCCAGCCAGACCGUCACCUGCAACGUAGCCCACCCGGCCAGCAGCACCAAGGUGGACAAGACAGUUGUGCCCAGAGACCCCCAUACAGACAAAGAUCCAUGUCCUACCUGUCCAAAGUGUCCAGCUCCUGACCUCUCCGGUGGACCAUCUGUCUUCAUCUUCCCCCCAAAGCCCAAGGAUGUACUCAUGAUGACCCUGACCCCCAAGAUCACCUGUGUGGUGGUGGACGUGAGCGAGGAUGAGCGAGACGUCCGGUUCAACUGGUUUGUGGGCAACGUGGAAGUACACAACGCUCAGACGCAGACCCAUGAGGAACAGUACAACAGCACCUUCCGUGUGGUCAGUACCCUCCCCAUCAAGCACCAGGACUGGAUGUCGGGCAAGGAGUUCAAAUGCAAAGUCAACAACAAAGCGCUCCCAAGCCCCAUCGUGAAAACCAUCUCCAAAAAGAAAGGUCAAGUCCGAGAACCCCAGGUUUAUACCCUUCCUCCACCAAAGGAGCAGAUGACCAGGAACCAGCUCAGUAUCACCUGCAUGAUCAAUGACUUCUACCCUGAGGACAUUGCUGUGGAGUGGGAGAAAAAUGGGCAAGAAGAGAGGAACUAUAAGAACACCCUACUUGUCCAGGAAUCAGAAGAGUCCUACUUCAUGUACAGCAAGCUCAAUGUGGAAAAGGCCAGCUGGGAACAAGGCGACAUAUACUCCUGCACUGUGAUACACGAGGCUCUCCACAAUCACCGCACGAAGAAGGACAUCUCCCGGGUUCCGGAGGUGGAACUGGGCGACACCUGUGCUGAGGCCCAGGACGGGGAGCUGGACGGGCUCUGGACGACCAUCACCAUCUUCAUCACCCUCUUCCUGCUCAGCGUGUGCUACAGCGCCACCAUCACACUCUACAAGGUGAAAUGGAUCUUCUCCUCAGUGGUGGAGCUGAAGCAGACAAUGUCCCCUGACUACAGGAACAUGAUUGGACAGGGGGCCUAG